AUUGAACGCUGGCGGCAGGCUUAACACAUGCAAGUCGAGCGGUAACAGGAGAAGCUUGCUUCUCGCUGACGAGCGGCGGACGGGUGAGUAAUACUUAGGAAUCUACCUAGUAGUGGGGGAUAGCACGGGGAAACUCGAAUUAAUACCGCAUACGACCUACGGGAGAAAGGGGGCAACUUGUUGCUCUCGCUAUUAGAUGAGCCUAAGUCGGAUUAGCUAGAUGGUGGGGUAAAGGCCUACCAUGGCGACGAUCUGUAGCUGGUCUGAGAGGAUGAUCAGCCCCACCGGGACCGGGACACGGCCCGGCCUCCUACGGAAGGCAGCAGUGGGUAAUAUUGGACAAUGGGGGCAACCCUGAUCCAGCCAUGCCGCGUGUAUGAAGAAGGCCUUUUGGUUGUAAGCACUUUAAGCAGUGAAGAAGACUCUAGGGUUAAUACCCUUAGACGAUGACAUUAGCUGCAGAAUAAGCACCGGCUAACUCUGUGCCAGCCGCCGCCGUAA
RNAcentral lists this ribosomal RNA (501 nucleotides) under uncultured bacterium. Its description in RNAcentral is "partial 16S ribosomal RNA". It matches the Rfam family "Bacterial small subunit ribosomal RNA", at positions 30 to 523 of the family's 1533-position model. The record is from RNAcentral.